Molecule: long non-coding RNA, 1683 nt
Organism: Zonotrichia leucophrys gambelii
Lineage: Eukaryota; Metazoa; Chordata; Aves; Passeriformes; Passerellidae
Exons: 4
Source: RefSeq, a predicted model, not a curated record
UGGACAUACACAUAGUGGCAGAAGGGCACAGACCCUCUCAUGUCUAGACUGCACACCAUGGGGUUUUUUGCAUAAGUGAUUUGCUGUUAGUGCAGAUGGUGUAGAAGAUUAUGGGAUUUCAAUUGUUUCCUCCAGCAUGUAAAGUCUACACAUUAUGGUUACCUCUGCUGCUCAUCCUGCUCCAAAAGACUGCACCCACUGACAGAGCAGGAGGAGAGCAGCUUGACUCACUGCACGUGAAAAUGGUUCUGAAUUUCUCGUUGUACUGGAGCGGUCUGGAAAUGCAGCACUGAAAGCACCAGCACCUGGAUACUGUGCUCCAUGUAACAGUGACAGAUCAGAACAGCUGUGACAGAUCACCUGUGACAUGCUGAAUUCUUUUAAACCAUACAAUGAUUUGGGUUGGAAAGGACCUUUAAGAUUAUCUAGUUCCAAUCCCUUGGCCAUGAGCCAGGGACAGUUUUCUCUGGAUCAGGGUGCUCACAGUCCCAUUCAGCCUGGCUUUCCAGGGAUGGGGCAUCCAUUAACUCCUCUGAGCAAUGUGUUUCAGUGCCUCACCACACUCACAGUCAAGAAUUUAUUUCUGAUACCUAUUUCUGCCCCAGCCUGAAAAUCCCAACUCUCUCAGCCUCAUCCUCACAGGAGAUGUGCUUGAGCCCUCUGAGCAUCUUUGUGGCCACCUCUGGACCCGCUCCAGCAGGUCCACGUCCUUUUUAUGUCAGGAGCCCCAGAGCUGGAUGCAGUACUGCAGGUGGGAUCUUUCCAGAGUGGAGAAGAGAGAGAAUCAGCUGCCUCAACCUGCUGACUGCCCUGCUUUUCUUUCUGGGGAUACAAGAGUACAUUGUCAGGUUCUGCUGAGCUUCUUGCCAACAGCGCUGAACUCCUUCUCCUCCAGGCUGCUCUCAGUCCUGUGUUUGUAUUUGUGUUUGCCCAGCCUGUCAGGAUUUCCCUGGCUCAGGUGCAGGGCAUUGUGCCUGGCUUUGUUUAACUUCCUGAAGAUCCCAUGGGCCGGUCUCUCCAGCCUGUCCAGGCCCCUCAGGAUGGCAUCUCUUCUCUCCCGCAUGUUGACUGCACCUCACAGCUUGGUGUUGUCUGCAGUCUUGCUGAGGGUGACUCAAUCCCACAGCCCACGUUGCUGACAAAGAUGUUGAACAGUGCUGGUCCCAACAGUGCUCCUGGACCCCCAAGGAACACCACUCUUCCCUGGUCUCCUCUUGGACUUGGAGAGUCACCAUCCAGCCGGUUGCUUAUCCACUGAGUGGUCCAUCCAUCAAGCCAGUGUCUCUCCAGUUUAGAGACAAGGCUGUUGUACAGGACAGUGUCAAGCUUUGUACAAGUCCAGAUAGUCAUGGCAGUCACUCUGCCCUUAUUCCACCUCUGUAAGCCCAUCAGAGAAGGCCACUGGAUUUAUCAAACAUAAUUUUCCUUUAGUGAAGCCAUGUUUUCUGUCCCCCAGACAUACCCUUAUUUCCCAUGUGCCUUAGCAUAUUUUCCAGGAGGAUCUGCUCCAUGAUUUUGCUGAGCAGUGAGGUGAAACUGAUGGGCCUGUAGUUCUCCAGCAAUCCCAUGUUUCCCUGUAUAAAAAUGGGGAUUAUGUUCCCCCUUUUCCAGUCAGUGAGAACUUUACUGCACUGCUAUAUAUCUCAGAUAUGAUGGAUAGUAGCUCAGCUUCUUCAUCCAGCA